This 369-nucleotide ribosomal RNA is filed under the name uncultured bacterium. RNAcentral's name for it is "bacterial SSU rRNA". It matches the Rfam family "Bacterial small subunit ribosomal RNA", at positions 525 to 896 of the family's 1533-position model. The record is from RNAcentral.
ACGGAAGGUCCGGGCGUUAUCCGGAUUUAUUGGGUUUAAAGGGAGCGUAGGCCGGAGAUUAAGCGUGUUGUGAAAUGUAGACGCUCAACGUCUGCACUGCAGCGCGAACUGGUUUCCUUGAGUACGCACAAAGUGGGCGGAAUUCGUGGUGUAGCGGUGAAAUGCUUAGAUAUCACGAAGAACUCCGAUUGCGAAGGCAGCUCACUGGAGCGCAACUGACGCUGAAGCUCGAAAGUGCGGGUAUCGAACAGGAUUAGAUACCCUGGUAGUCCGCACGGUAAACGAUGGAUGCCCGCUGUUGGUCUGAAUAGGUCAGCGGCCAAGCGAAAGCAUUAAGCAUCCCACCUGGGGAGUACGGUCGCAAGACUG